RNAcentral lists this ribosomal RNA (319 nucleotides) under Phareicranaus sp. MZSP 73079. RNAcentral describes it as "partial small subunit ribosomal RNA". Lineage: Eukaryota; Metazoa; Arthropoda; Arachnida; Opiliones; Cranaidae. The record is from RNAcentral.
CCCUAGUAUAAAUAUAGAUAUUUGAUUAUUAUGAUUUUGAAAUUUAAAAAUUCUGGCAGUUAAUUAAAAAUUAGGGGAGCUUGUUGAAUUAGAAGAUGCUCUUUAAAUUUUAUUAAUUUAAUGUUUAUUCAUCUCCGUUAAUAGACUAAGUUUGAGAAAAAUUAGGUAAAUUUAAUAUUUCAGGUCAAGAUGUAGCUUAAGUUAAGGAAAAUUAGCUACACUUAUGAAAUAUUGGAUAUAAUAUUUAUUGAAAAAAUAUAGAAAAUGAACUUGAUUGUAAUAUUUAUCAGAAUAUAAAUUUGAAAUAAUAAUUAAUGUA